RNAcentral lists this ribosomal RNA (774 nucleotides) under uncultured Neocallimastigales. Its description in RNAcentral is "partial large subunit ribosomal RNA". It matches the Rfam family "Eukaryotic large subunit ribosomal RNA", at positions 19 to 646 of the family's 3401-position model. The record is from RNAcentral. Lineage: Eukaryota; Fungi; Neocallimastigomycota; Neocallimastigomycetes; Neocallimastigales.
CGAGCACGCGCGUGUGGCAUAUCAAUAAGCGGAGGAAAAGAAACUAACAAGGAUUCCCUAGUAACGGCGAGUGAAGCGGGAAGAGCUCAAAUUUGAAAUCUUAAAGGUUUCCCUUGACGAAUUGUAGUUUAUAGAAGUGUUUUCUGUAGUGGAGCUUCGGUAAAAGUUCUUUGGAAUAGGACAUCAUAGAGGGUGAGAAUCCCGUAUUUGGUCAUUCUUCUAGCGUUGUGAUACACUUUCAACGAGUCGGAUUGUUUGGGAAUGCAGUCCAAAAUGGGUGGUAAAUUUCAUCUAAAGCUAAAUAUUGGCGAGAGACCGAUAGCGAACAAGUACCGUGAGGGAAAGAUGAAAAGAACUUUGAAAAGAGAGUUAAACAGUACGUGAAAUUGUCAAAAGGGAAGCGUUUGACACCAGUGUUGUUUUUCCGAAAAUCAAUUAAGAAUGUUUUAUUUUUGAGGAGUUAUGACUUCAUCGGCUUGCUUCUUUCUUUAUGAAACUUUCUUAAUGCACUUUUCGGUUAACAAGUCAACAUCAAUUUCUUUUGUUGUAAAAGGGUAUGAGGAAGGUGGCUUUCUUUUCGGAGAAAGUGUUUAUAGCCUUGUACCUCUAGCAGUCGGAGAGAUUGAGGUCUGCAGCGUAGAUCCUUCGGGGUUAGAUACGUUUGUGCUAAGUUAUAGCUUUUCAUAGACAACUUGUUGACUAUGUUUAGUCUUGUAGCUUACUCGCUGACGCUAUUUUACCUACGCUUAGGAUGUUGAUGUGAUACUGCGAGCA